GGGGCUGUAGCUCAGUGGCAAGGCGCUUGCCUAGCAUGUAUGAGGCACUGAGUUCAAUUCUCAGCACCACA
This 71-nucleotide transfer RNA is filed under the name Marmota monax (woodchuck). RNAcentral's name for it is "tRNA.Ala". It matches the Rfam family "tRNA". From Rfam's summary of the family: Transfer RNA (tRNA) molecules are approximately 80 nucleotides in length. Their secondary structure includes four short double-helical elements and three loops (D, anti-codon, and T loops). The record is from RNAcentral. Lineage: Eukaryota; Metazoa; Chordata; Mammalia; Rodentia; Sciuridae.